RNAcentral lists this ribosomal RNA (492 nucleotides) under uncultured bacterium. Its description in RNAcentral is "partial 16S ribosomal RNA". It matches the Rfam family "Bacterial small subunit ribosomal RNA", at positions 29 to 507 of the family's 1533-position model. The record is from RNAcentral.
AGUGAACGCUGGCGGUAGGCCUAACACAUGCCAGUCGAACGGCAGCACAGUAAGAGCUUGCUCUUACGGGUGGCGAGUGGCGGACGGGUGAGGAAUACAUCGGAAUCUACUUUUUCGUGGGGGAUAACGUAGGGAAACUUACGCUAAUACCGCAUACGACCUACGGGUGAAAGCAGGGGAUCUUCGGACCUUGCGCGAUUGAAUGAGCCGAUGUCGGAUUAGCUAGUUGGCGGGGUAAAGGCCCACCAAGGCGACGAUCCGUAGCUGGUCUGAGAGGAUGAUCAGCCACACUGGAACUGAGACACGGUCCAGACUCCUACGGGAGGCAGCAGUGGGGAAUAUUGGACAAUGGGCGAAAGCCUGAUCCAGCCAUACCGCGUGGGUGAAGAAGGCCUUCGGGUUGUAAAGCCCUUUUGUUGGGAAAGAAAAGCAGCAGGUUAAUCCCCCGCUGUUCUGACGGUACCCAAAGAAUAAGCACCGGCUAACUUCGUG